This 855-nucleotide ribosomal RNA is filed under the name Triticum aestivum (bread wheat). RNAcentral's name for it is "partial small subunit ribosomal RNA". Lineage: Eukaryota; Viridiplantae; Streptophyta; Magnoliopsida; Poales; Poaceae. The record is from RNAcentral.
AUGGCACCCGAGACGUGUCCGCAGCCAGAAGCAGCGAAGUUGCCGUACAAGAAGCUGGGAGAUUCAGAUCUCCUUAUUAGCGGGAUAACUCUUGGAACAAUGAUCUUUGGAUAGCAAAGAACAGAGAAGGAAUCCCAUGAUAUGCUCUCUUAUUAUUUUAAUCAGGGCAUCAACAUACUGGACACCGCAGGUUGUUACUACCGAAUGCAACCCAAGGAGACUCAAGGGAGGACUGAUCUAUAUGUAGGCAGGUGGAUGAAAUCCAAGCCACGAGACAAAACAACUUUAGCCACCAAAAUUUCUGGUUAUUCAGAUCACACUUUUCAUCGGUACAAUGCAAAGGUGUGUGUUGAUGAUCCCAUUAUGAAGGAAAGUGUCGAAAAGAGCCUUUCAUGCUUAUCUAAAGACUACACUGAUUUUCUUCACAUACACUGGCUAGAUAGGUAUGUCGCACGUUACGGUGAAUUCAGUUACAAUUCAACCAAAUGGAGGCCAAGCGUCCCAUGUGUGGAUCAAUGGAAAGCUUUCAGGAACUAAUUGGUAAAGGGAAGGGUACAAUAUAUCGGUGUUUCCAAUGAAACCACGUACGGAGUAAUGCAGUUUGUACAUGCUGCAAAGCUUGAUGGACUUCCAAAGAUUAUGAGCAUCUAGAAUGGUUAUAGUCAACUUGUGAGAUGCAGCUUCGAAGGUGAAACAGAGAUGUCAGCCAUAAUUUAUUCAUUUUCAUUCACUGGAAUUCCAUGCCAUCCCUGUUGUUCUGAAACUUAUUUGCAGACAUGUAAUUUAGAGAAAGAGGGAGGAAAGAACUCCUCGGUUGUAGUUCAGAUCAUCGGCCUGCUGUCAUCUUUUUCAUAA